GCGCAGCUACACAUGCAGUCGAGCGGCAGCGGAAGUAGCUUGCUACUUUGCCGGCGAGCGGCGGACGGGUGAGUAAUGUCUGGGAAACUGCCUGAUGGAGGGGGAUAACUACUGGAAACGGUAGCUAAUACCGCAAAACGUCGCAAGACCAAAGAGGGGGACCUUCGGGCCUCUUGCCAUCAGAUGUGCCCAGAUGGGAUUAGCUAGUAGGUGGGGUAACGGCUCACCUAGGCGACGAUCCCUAGCUGGUCUGAGAGGAUGACCAGCCACACUGGAACUGAGACACGGUCCAGACUCCUACGGGAGGCAGCAGUGGGGAAUAUUGCACAAUGGGCGCAAGCCUGAUGCAGCCAUGCCGCGUGUAUGAAGAAGGCCUUCGGGUUGUAAAGUACUUUCAGCGGGGAGGAAGGCGGUGAGGUUAAUAACCUCAUCAAUUGACUUUACCCGCAAAAGAAGCACCGGCUAACUCCGUGCCAGCACCCGCGGUAAUACGGAGGGUGCACGCGUUAAUCGGAAUUACUGGGCGUAAAGCGCACGCAGGCGGUCUGUCAUGUCGGAUGUGAUAUCCCCGGGCUCACCCUGGGAACUGCAUUCAAAACUGGCAGGCUAGAGUCUUGUAGAGGGGGGUAAAAUUCCAGGUGUAGCGGUGAAAUGCGUAAAGAUCUGGAAGAAUACCGGUGGCAAAGGCGGCCCCCUGGACAAAAACUAACGCUCAGGUGCGAAAGCGUGGGGAACAAACAAGAUUAGAUACCCUGAUAGUCCACGCCGUAAACGA
Molecule: ribosomal RNA, 775 nt
Filed under: Enterobacter sp.
Lineage: Bacteria; Pseudomonadati; Pseudomonadota; Gammaproteobacteria; Enterobacterales; Enterobacteriaceae
Description: bacterial SSU rRNA
Rfam family: Bacterial small subunit ribosomal RNA
Source: RNAcentral